AACGAACGCUGGCGGCAGGCUUAACACAUGCAAGUCGAACGAUUAAAGCCCCUUCGGGGGUGUAUAGAGUGGCGAACGGGUGAGUAACACGUGGGCAAUCUGCCCCUCACUUCGGGAUAACUCAGGGAAACUUGAGCUAAUACCGGAUACUCCGGGAAGGUCGCAUGGCCAACCCGGGAAAGCUCCGACGGUGAGGGAUGAGCCCGCGGCCCAUUAGCUUGUUGGUGAGGUAACGGCUCACCAAGGCCACGAUGGGUAGCCGAGCUGAGAGGCUGAUGGGCCACACUGGGACUGAGACACGGCCCAGACUCCUACGGGAGGCAGCAGUGGGGAAUUUGGCGCAAUGGGCGAAAGCCUGACGCAGCAACGCCGCGUGCGGGAUGAAGGCCUUCGGGUUGUAAACCGCUUUCAGCAGGGAUGAAAUUGACAGUACCUGCAGAAGAAGCCCCGGCUAACUACGUGCCAGCAGCCGCAGUAA
This 478-nucleotide ribosomal RNA is filed under the name uncultured bacterium. RNAcentral describes it as "partial 16S ribosomal RNA". It matches the Rfam family "Bacterial small subunit ribosomal RNA", at positions 29 to 523 of the family's 1533-position model. The record is from RNAcentral.